Molecule: ribosomal RNA, 506 nt
Filed under: uncultured bacterium
Lineage: Bacteria
Description: partial 16S ribosomal RNA
Rfam family: Bacterial small subunit ribosomal RNA
Source: RNAcentral
AGUGAACGCUGGCGGUAGGCCUAACACAUGCAAGUCGAACGGCAGCACAGGAGAGCUUGCUCUCUGGGUGGCGAGUGGCGGACGGGUGAGGAAUACAUCGGAAUCUACUUUUUCGUGGGGGAUAACGUAGGGAAACUUACGCUAAUACCGCAUACGACCUACGGGUGAAAGCAGGGGACCUUCGGGCCUUGCGCGAUUGAAUGAGCCGAUGUCGGAUUAGCUAGUUGGCGGGGUAAAGGCCCACCAAGGCGACGAUCCGUAGCUGGUCUGAGAGGAUGAUCAGCCACACUGGAACUGAGACACGGUCCAGACUCCUACGGGAGGCAGCAGUGGGGAAUAUUGGACAAUGGGCACAAGCCUGAUCCAGCCAUACCGCGCGGGUGAAGAAGGCCUUCGGGUUGUAAAGCCCUUUUGUUGGGAAAGAAAUCCAGCUGGCUAAUACCCGGUUGGGAUGACGGUACCCAAAGAAUAAGCACCGGCUAACUUCGUGCCAGCAGCCGCCGUAA